This 119-nucleotide ribosomal RNA is filed under the name Burkholderia sp. AU33803. Its description in RNAcentral is "partial 16S ribosomal RNA". It matches the Rfam family "Bacterial small subunit ribosomal RNA", at positions 1416 to 1533 of the family's 1533-position model. The record is from RNAcentral. Lineage: Bacteria; Pseudomonadati; Pseudomonadota; Betaproteobacteria; Burkholderiales; Burkholderiaceae.
UUUACCAGAAGUGGCUAGUCUAACCGCAAGGAGGACGGUCACCACGGUAGGAUUCAUGACUGGGGUGAAGUCGUAACAAGGUAGCCGUAUCGGAAGGUGCGGCUGGAUCACCUCCUUUC